Non-coding RNA from Camelina sativa (false flax), 1146 nucleotides. The record is from RefSeq and is a predicted model, not a curated record. NCBI's taxonomy places the organism in Eukaryota, Viridiplantae, Streptophyta, Magnoliopsida, Brassicales, Brassicaceae.
UCUCUCUCGCCGUCUCUCCCAAAUGGAGAGUUAAAGAUUUUUUUUUCUUUUUUGUCGACAAAGUCGAAGAGAUGAUAAGAGGAAGAGAAGAAGGCAAAGAAUUUUGUUCAAGCAUCGUGUAUAUGCUAAGAAUGGAAACCAAGUGAUUGGGAAGCUUACAAGAUUUUCAUGUUUUUGGGUUUUGUAGGAUUGACGUUUAUAUAUACGUAUGAUCGAUCAUUUGGUGAAGAAAAAACUUCAUAAUACUGCAAAGUUGUUUAUGAUUGAAGGAAAGGUUUCCCCUGAUCGAGUUGGUAAUUAAAUGACUUUCGUGAUCACAGUACGAUGAAAUGAGGCACAAGUUCAAUCGAAUACAUUGCUGGAGGUGCUACCCAUAACUCUCAUUCAAACUGGUCCAGUGGAUGCUUCACUCUUUAGGCAACCAGUUACAUGGUAUCCAUUGGAAAGGACAAAUAGGGAGAGGCAAUGAAGGAUGCUACCGCAGCUGGUGUCAAUGUCCACUAUUUUGGAGAUGAGUCAAAACCUACCAGAACUUGCCGUGCCUGUGUUCUUGGUGGAGAAAGGUCGCUCAUUGCAAAUCUUUCUGCUGCAAGCUGCUACAAGGUUGAACACUUGCAUAUGCAUGAGUACUGGGCUCUAGUUGGGAAUGCUAAGUUCUACUACAUUGAUGGAUUCUUCGUCACAAUAUAUCACCAUAAUCCAUUCAGUUGGUAUGUGAACAUGCAGCUGCUAACAAGCUAAGAAGAUCCUUUAUGAGAACCAGACAUUUCAUAUUUUGUAAUGUCUUCUCUUUGAUCAGAUUUCAACACAUUUCUCUACUGUUUCUCCCUAACAGUAGCAAGAAUCAAGGUUUACUGACAUCUGAAAUAUCUAUCUGCUCUUAGUUAGUACAUGAUUUUUUCUAUUAAGAAAUUUUUUUAUUAAAGAAUCUAAGUUAUUGGAUAAGUUGAGGUUUGUUUAGUUUUUGCAACCAGAUGGAAUCUUAUAGAAUUGUCAGUUUGGUAGAAAACAUCCAUGUUGUUUCUUCUUACGUUCUUUGUUUUAAAUUUUGUGUACAAAAUCAAUUUGUGUGACAUGUUUUUGUUGGGUAUAUUGUAAUGUUCUCUGUUGAACAAAUCGACAAUGCACAUUUUUGGAUGAACUAAA